This 512-nucleotide ribosomal RNA is filed under the name uncultured bacterium. RNAcentral describes it as "partial 16S ribosomal RNA". It matches the Rfam family "Bacterial small subunit ribosomal RNA", at positions 28 to 523 of the family's 1533-position model. The record is from RNAcentral.
GACGAACGCUGGCGGCGUGCCUAAUACAUGCAAGUCGAGCGGAACUGGGGGAGCUUGCUCCUUCCAGUUUAGCGGCGGACGGGUGAGUAACACGUGGGCAACCUGCCCUGCAGAUCGGGAUAACUCCGGGAAACCGGUGCUAAUACCGAAUAGUUUGGCGCCUCUCCUGAGGCGCCACGGAAAGACGGUUUCGGCUGUCACUGCAGGAUGGGCCCGCGGCGCAUUAGCUAGUUGGUGGGGUAACGGCCCACCAAGGCGACGAUGCGUAGCCGACCUGGGAGGGGGACCGGCCCCACUGGGACUGAGACCAGGCCCAGACUCCUACGGGAGGCAGCAGUAGGGAAUCUUCCGCAAUGGACGAAAGUCUGACGGGGCAACGCCGCGUGAGUGACGAAGGUUUUCGGAUCGUAAAACUCUGUUGUGAGGGAAGAACACGUACCAACUAACUAUUGGUACCUUGACGGUACCUCACCAGAAAGCCACGGCUAACUACGUGCCAGCAGCCGCCGUAA